AGUAACAAAGAGGGGUGGCCCGGAAUAUACCGGACCUGAGAUUAUACCCAUUGAACCUGAUCCGGGUAAUGCCGGCGUAGGGAGAAGAGAAAUAUGCUUUU
Molecule: non-coding RNA, 101 nt
Filed under: Smithella sp. SCADC
Lineage: Bacteria; Pseudomonadati; Thermodesulfobacteriota; Syntrophia; Syntrophales; Smithellaceae
Also listed under: 1 other name
Description: TPP riboswitch aptamer (THI element)
Rfam family: TPP riboswitch aptamer (THI element)
About the family: Vitamin B(1) in its active form thiamin pyrophosphate (TPP) is an essential coenzyme that is synthesised by coupling of pyrimidine and thiazole moieties in bacteria. The previously detected thiamin-regulatory element, thi box was extended, resulting in a new, highly conserved RNA secondary structure, the THI element, which is widely distributed in eubacteria and also occurs in some archaea. Analysis of operon structures identified a large number of new candidate thiamin-regulated genes, mostly transporters, in various prokaryotic organisms.
Source: Rfam by way of RNAcentral